AUUGAACGCUGGCGGAAUGCUUUACACAUGCAAGUCGAACGGUAGAGGGGGCAACCCCUUGAGAGUGGCGAACGGGUGAGUAAUAUAUCGGAACGUGCCCAGUCGUGGGGAUAACGUAGCGAAAGUUACGCUAAUACCGCAUACGAUCUAAGGAUGAAAGCGGGGGAUCGCAAGACCUCGCGCGAUUGGAGCGGCCGAUAUCAGAUUAGGUAGUUGGUGGGGUAAAGGCUCACCAAGCCAACGAUCUGUAGCUGGUCUGAGAGGACGACCAGCCACACUGGAACUGAGACACGGUCCAGACUCCUACGGGAGGCAGCAGUGGGGAAUUUUGGACAAUGGACGCAAGUCUGAUCCAGCCAUUCCGCGUGCAGGAUGAAGGCCCUCGGGUUUGUAAACUGCUUUUGUACGGAACGAAAGGUUUCUCUUAAUACGAGGAGCUCAUGACGGUACCGUAAGAAUAAG
RNAcentral lists this ribosomal RNA (462 nucleotides) under uncultured bacterium. RNAcentral's name for it is "bacterial SSU rRNA". It matches the Rfam family "Bacterial small subunit ribosomal RNA", at positions 30 to 490 of the family's 1533-position model. The record is from RNAcentral.